CCUACGGGUGGCAGCAGUGGGGAAUAUUGCACAAUGGGCGCAAGCCUGAUGCAGCGACGCCGCGUGAGCGAUGAAGGCCUUCGGGUCGUAAAGCUCUGUCCUAAGGGAAGAAUAAUGACGGUACCUUAGGAGGAAGCCCCGGCUAACUACGUGCCAGCAGCCGCGGUAAUACGUAGGGGGCGAGCGUUAUCCGGAAUCACUGGGCGUGAAGGGUGCGGAGGCGGCCCUGCAAGUCAGGAGUUAAAUCCCUCGGCUCAACCGAGGUCAGCUCUUGAAACUGUAGGGCUGGAGUGCAGGAGAGGAGGGCGGAAUUCCUAGUGUAGCGGUGAAAUGCGUAGAUAUUAGGAGGAACACCAGUGGCGAAGGCGACUCUCCGGACUGUAACUGACGCUGAGGCACGAAAGCGUGGGGAGCAAACGGGAUUAGAUACGCGGGUAGUC
This 440-nucleotide ribosomal RNA is filed under the name uncultured bacterium. Its description in RNAcentral is "bacterial SSU rRNA". It matches the Rfam family "Bacterial small subunit ribosomal RNA", at positions 338 to 795 of the family's 1533-position model. The record is from RNAcentral.